This 391-nucleotide long non-coding RNA is filed under the name Ananas comosus (pineapple). RNAcentral describes it as "long non-coding RNA (ACOM_LNC018035)". The record is from RNAcentral. Lineage: Eukaryota; Viridiplantae; Streptophyta; Magnoliopsida; Poales; Bromeliaceae.
CAGAAUUUCAUUUGGUUCUGCCACAUCUUAAAAUUAUGACCAUCAAAAGUAAACGGUUUCAUCGAAUCCUCCAUAAUAAAAUAAAAUCUGUCCACAAAUUAAUUCUACUGUUAUAUCAAAAAACUAUUUUGAAUUUCAGAAAAAUAACAGUAAGAUAUUUAUUAAUUUGUAGAAAAGAAAUAUUUUAAUUACUAUAAUAAAAGAAACAGAAAGAUUAAAAAUAAAUUUCGCUUCUAGAUUGUUGGAAAAACUUUCUGAUCUUUUAUUACAAUAUUCUUUAAAAACCAAUUCGAAAAUUUAAUUAAAGGUUUAGGAAAAUCCUAAAACGAAAUUAAAUAACAAAUACGGUAAAGAAAAGGUUUAGAUAAGGCCUGUGGAUCAAGGCGUGUAU